CUGGAUAAGGUAUUAUAAAAGAUUUCAAGUUGAGCUGCGUUUUCGUAGAAGCUCUAAACAACUUCCGAUUAUCAAUUGUUUUAAAAAAAAAAGUAUAAAUUCCAGUAAUUCGGUAUAUUCUACUUUCUAAUGGGUGCCCUUAUGUAUACAAAGCAAUAUCCCGGACCACGCAUAUAUCAAAUGCAGACAAAGAACGAAAAAUCCAAUUAAAUUGAGAUUUAAAAUGGGAAUCUUGAAAAAAACCACAAAAAAAAAUGCAAAAUUUCAGAAAAUAAUAUCGACCCAUAUCAAAAUCAUAAAUCAUAGUUCGAGAAAAAUCGAGAUUGACUAACGAUAUUUUCCCAUUGUCGUGGAUCAACAUCCAUUUUCCAAUGUCCCUUCUAAUAAUCAGCAAGAAAUCUAUACUCCUCUAUUCACUUGUAUCCAAAAGUCAACAUAAAUUGGGAUUAAUGUUAUAUCAAGAAUAGUUGCGUGCACAUUCUUAUGGAUGAUUGAUUUUUGUACGUGUUGGCGUGUGUUG
This 520-nucleotide long non-coding RNA is filed under the name Olea europaea (common olive). Its description in RNAcentral is "long non-coding RNA (OEUR_LNC014365)". Lineage: Eukaryota; Viridiplantae; Streptophyta; Magnoliopsida; Lamiales; Oleaceae. The record is from RNAcentral.